CCCCGGUGCGCCCGCGCUGCCGCCUGCACAUCACCGGUCGCCAACGCAACUCCGCUGCAGCUUGUGAGUACUCCAGUAGUCAAGAUGGAUGUUCACUACAACCAUUUACCACCAUGUGGAACCAGAAGUUCAAUCAGUGGUUCAAAGAGAAGGUAGCCAGCUUGCACGAACAUGAUAAGAGUGAGCUCACCGAAGACCUUUUGGCACUAUCACGUGGUCCAUUAGAAAAUGUAACAUGUUUUACUGGCUAUGACAUGAAUGGAUUCAGAUAUCAUGUUCAAAGUCGAGAUAGACACCUCUGCACACAGAACAGUGGGGUGGCUGUACUUUUAGAACAAGGGGAUAAUGGUAAUACAGUAGAAUAUUAU
Long non-coding RNA from Triticum aestivum (bread wheat), 368 nucleotides. RefSeq lists it as uncharacterized. The transcript has 3 exons. NCBI's taxonomy places the organism in Eukaryota, Viridiplantae, Streptophyta, Magnoliopsida, Poales, Poaceae. The record is from RefSeq and is a predicted model, not a curated record.